This 436-nucleotide ribosomal RNA is filed under the name bacterium br15(2011). RNAcentral describes it as "SSU rRNA". It matches the Rfam family "Bacterial small subunit ribosomal RNA", at positions 440 to 867 of the family's 1533-position model. The record is from RNAcentral.
AAGGGAAGAACACGUACGAGAGUAACUGCUCGUACCUUGACGGUACCUUAUUAGAAAGCCACGGCUAACUACGUGCCAGCAGCCGCGGUAAUACGUAGGUGGCAAGCGUUGUCCGGAAUUAUUGGGCGUAAAGCGCGCGCAGGCGGUUCUUUAAGUCUGAUGUGAAAGCCCACGGCUCAACCGUGGAGGGUCAUUGGAAACUGGAGAACUUGAGUACAGAAGAGGAAAGCGGAAUUCCACGUGUAGCGGUGAAAUGCGUAGAGAUGUGGAGGAACACCAGUGGCGAAGGCGGCUUUCUGGUCUGUAACUGACGCUGAGGCGCGAAAGCGUGGGGAGCAAACAGGAUUAGAUACCCUGGUAGUCCACGCCGUAAACGAUGAGUGCUAAGUGUUAGGGGGUUUCCGCCCCUUAGUGCUGCAGCUAACGCAUUAAGCAC